RNAcentral lists this ribosomal RNA (372 nucleotides) under uncultured bacterium. Its description in RNAcentral is "bacterial SSU rRNA". It matches the Rfam family "Bacterial small subunit ribosomal RNA", at positions 28 to 404 of the family's 1533-position model. The record is from RNAcentral.
GAUGAACGCUAGCGGCAGGCUUAACACAUGCAAGUCGAGGGGUAUUGGUUUUCGGACCAAGAGACCGGCGCACGGGUGCGUAACGCGUAUGCAAUCUACCUUUUGCAGAGGGAUAGCCCAGAGAAAUUUGGAUUAAUACCUCAUAGUAUAGUACUUUGGCAUCAAGGAACUAUUAAAGUCACAACGGCAAAGAUGAGCAUGCGUCCCAUUAGCUAGUUGGUAAGGUAACGGCUUACCAAGGCUACGAUGGGUAGGGGUCCUGAGAGGGAGAUCCCCCACACUGGUACUGAGACACGGACCAGACUCCUACGGGAGGCAGCAGUGAGGAAUAUUGGACAAUGGGCGCAAGCCUGAUCCAGCCAUGCCGCGUGC